UCUGUGCUAAGGUAGCGAAGUCAUUAGUUCUUUUAUUGGGAACUUGUAUGAGUGGGGGAAUGGAAAUUAUAUAAUGAAGUUUUGUUUUUGAUGAAUUUUAAUUUUGUGUGAAAAUGCAUAAUUUUCUUUAAAGACGAGAAGACCCUAGAAUCUUUAUUUUAUUUAAUUUAGAGUAAUUUUUACUUGGGGGAAGGAUUAAUUUUUAUUGGUGAUUUUUUUAUAAUGAACUUUUGUUAGGUUAACUGUAUAGAUACUUUAGGGAAAACAGGAUUAUUAAGCUUAAAAGUUCUUAUUUUAGGUUGGAGAUUGUUACCUCGCUU
RNAcentral lists this ribosomal RNA (320 nucleotides) under Neochelacheles sp. NS-2016. RNAcentral describes it as "partial 16S ribosomal RNA". Lineage: Eukaryota; Metazoa; Arthropoda; Arachnida; Trombidiformes; Cheyletidae. The record is from RNAcentral.